GAUGAACGCUGGCGGCGUGCCUAACACAUGCAAGUCGAACGAAGCUUGACGGAUGAUCUCUUCGGAAUGAAACCAGAUAUGACUUAGUGGCGGACGGGUGAGUAACACGUGAGCAACCUGCCUUUCAGAGGGGGAUAACGGCUGGAAACGGUCGCUAAUACCGCAUGAUGUGUUCGGAUGGCAUCAUCUGAACAUCAAAGAUUUAUCGCUGAAAGAUGGGCUCGCGUCUGAUUAGAUAGUUGGUGGGGUAACGGCCUACCAAGUCUACGAUCAGUAGCCGGACUGAGAGGUUGAACGGCCACAUUGGGACUGAGAUACGGCCCAGACUCCUACGGGAGGCAGCAGUGGGGAAUAGUGCACAAUGGGGGAAACCCUGAUGCAGCAACGCCGCGUGAAGGAUGACGGUUUUCGGAUUGUAAACUUCUUUUCUUAGUGACGAAGACAGUGACGGUAGCUAAGGAAUAAGCAUCGGCUAACUACGUG
Molecule: ribosomal RNA, 483 nt
Filed under: uncultured bacterium
Lineage: Bacteria
Description: partial 16S ribosomal RNA
Rfam family: Bacterial small subunit ribosomal RNA
Source: RNAcentral